This is a long non-coding RNA of Cloeon dipterum, 1930 nucleotides long. RefSeq lists it as uncharacterized. The record is from RefSeq and is a predicted model, not a curated record. The transcript is spliced from 9 exons. NCBI's taxonomy places the organism in Eukaryota, Metazoa, Arthropoda, Insecta, Ephemeroptera, Baetidae.
GAAGCCUUCAUCCGAGUUAUCAACCCUGCGCGAGUCACACUGACAGAAAGGAGAAGCAUGCAAGCCUCUACAGAGUCUGAGAAGAGCCUUCUUACGCACAAGUUUACGCUAAUUCUGUGACUGACAACUCUGAAAAUGUUGAAGAGGCUCCGAGGAGACGCCUCUGGUCCUCUGGAAAAACUUGACGAGGAAAACGACGAAGUUGAUGAAGCCUCUGAUCUGUCCGAGUGGGUGAGCUGCUGGACCUGUGCCUAUCCAAGCUGAGGGAACUGAGCAAUGUGAAGCUGACAGACGCCAUGCAGCAGCUUCAUGUGGACCGAGCAUUCAAAGCGGCGCAAGCUGACUGUGCAGGCCGUGGCGUUGACGGCAACCUCUUCCUGCAGCAGGUCUUCGUCGUUGAGUUCACGUUUGCCAGCCAAAUGUGUGACCGAGGCCAAGGAUUACAGGCCAAUGAAAGAACCUAUUAUUCAUGCGUGGAGUGGAGAUUUUUGCCUUCUGAAAAAGCUUGUGGGCAUCAGUCAACUGUGUAUGGUGGCCUUUCGACGCGAUUGCAAAUCCAAAGCAGCUUGAGCCUUACACGGUGAUUGGAUGCAAACCCAUCCUCUUACAGUCUCAGGCUCUCCCUGAUUCCCUGGCUAUAGGGACAAAUAAGCAACAACGACAACUUGAUCCGCUCAAAGUCUCAUCUAAGCAAAUUUUGAACCCUGGUGACACAGUUCUGGAUACUUUUACAAGGACUGUGGAGACAGAUGAACACUGCCCGUGAGCACCAGCGUUUGACAUUUACACGACGACUUCAAAUCAACCAACAUGGAUUAUGUUGAACUCUUGGAUGACCUAGAGAGUGACCCGCAGUACAGGUAGAACUUCAAGGAAAGACGUUCUUCCACCUGUGGAGGCAGGCGAGGAUGAAGAUGAAGACACAGAAAUGGCAGAUUUUUGAGCCGAUUGUCAAGCCCAAUUGCAAGGGCUGUUGGACUUGACUGUUGCUGGGGCACCAGGGAGGAGGUGGUCGCCAGAUAUGUAGACAUUCGCGUCAAUUUUUGUCCAAUAAUCACUUUUGGCACAUCUACCUCACUCAUCCUCGACUUUAAGGGCCAAAGCCGACUCCAGAAAUACCACAACCACCUGAAGAUGGCUAGCCAACGAUGGAAGUGCUGUAAAUUACCAACAACCACAUUGACCUGACUUACACUCCAGGCAACAAUUCCCUCCGCAGGGCCUGCAAUACAUUCCUCGGCCGCCGCUGGUUGCUGGGGGUGAUUACCACGACUGUGACAUUCCCGAUCACGCCUUGCGCAAAACCUUCUCACCCAGAACCACUGUCGCUUGUCUACGUCAUGUUCACGGCAACCGUGGGAGAGAAACGCUGAGCUCGACCCCGACCACUUCACCCUGGUGAUGAACAUGCUGAGACAUGGUCGUUUCCCCAACGUGCCCGUCCUGCCUAUUUUCUGCAACCACGAGUUGGUGGCUGGAUGGUCUACGACAACAUCAACCCUGCAGGCCAGUGGGCGUGGCUCUCAGGAGCCCUUGCUGUCUGAGAAAGCGGGGCAAUGGCACACCCCUGCAACAUUUGCCACAAAGAGAGAGAGAGUACAUGAGGAUUAUUGACAGAAUACGAGGUGAAGGCGCAGUUCCACGCUCACACUCUCAAUGACCACUUCAGCAUCUACUAUGACCUGGAUGAGCCAUCAAGGGCCAACAGCAGCUUAGAGUCUCCGCCGUGACUGAUGGCUGGCCACGCGUAACCUAAAAUUAUCCUGCUGGCUGCGUGCAUGUCUCGAACAUCAAAGGCAUCACUGCUGUUAAUAUUUCAAAUUUAAUCGUUAAUUUAACCUAAUUUAUUUGAGAAAUGCAAAUUUUAACUUCUAUUUGUGCAACUGUACGUUAUGCCCCAAAUAAACUAUUUAUCCAUGAACUUAUUACA